RNAcentral lists this ribosomal RNA (468 nucleotides) under uncultured bacterium. RNAcentral's name for it is "partial 16S ribosomal RNA". It matches the Rfam family "Bacterial small subunit ribosomal RNA", at positions 28 to 507 of the family's 1533-position model. The record is from RNAcentral.
GACGAACGCUGGCGGCGUGCUUAACACAUGCAAGUCGAACGGAAAGGCCCUGCUCUUGUGGCGUGCUCGAGUGCCGAACGGGUGUGUAUCACGUGAGUAACCUGCCCUUGACAUUGGGAUAACUUCACGGAACUGGGGCUCAUACCCGAUAGGAGAUCCUGCUGCAUGUUGGUGGUUGGUAAGUUUCGGCGGUUGUGGAUGGACUCGCGGCUUAUCCGCUUCUUGGUGUAGUAGGUAAUUACCAAGGCUUUGACGGAUAGCCGGCAUGGGAGGUGGACCGGCCACAUGGGGACUGAGAUACGGCCCAGACGGCUACGGGAGGCAGCAGGGGGGAGUAUUGCGGAAUGGCCGGGAGCGUGAUGUAGCAGCCCCGCGUGCGGGAUGACGGCCUUCGGGGUGUAAACCGCUUUCGCAGGUGACGAACCGUGAGUGACGGUAAUGGGUAAAGAAGCACCGGCUAACUACGUG